GACGGAGGUCCCGAGCGUUGUUCGGAAUUAUUGGGCUUAAAGCGCGUGUAGGCGGAAUGGUAAGUACCUUGUGAAAUCCCUGGACUCAAUCCGGGAACUGCUUGGUAUACUGCCGAUCUUGAGGCAGGUAGGGGUCACUGGAACCUUAGGUGGAGCGGUGAAAUGCGUAGAUAUCUAAGGGAACGCCUGUGGCGAAAGCGGGUGACUGGGCCUGUCCUGACGCUGAGACGCGAAAGCGUAGGGAGCAAAC
RNAcentral lists this ribosomal RNA (250 nucleotides) under uncultured bacterium. RNAcentral describes it as "partial 16S ribosomal RNA". It matches the Rfam family "Bacterial small subunit ribosomal RNA", at positions 524 to 773 of the family's 1533-position model. The record is from RNAcentral.